RNAcentral lists this ribosomal RNA (256 nucleotides) under uncultured bacterium. Its description in RNAcentral is "partial 16S ribosomal RNA". It matches the Rfam family "Bacterial small subunit ribosomal RNA", at positions 524 to 776 of the family's 1533-position model. The record is from RNAcentral.
UACGUAGGGUGCAAGCGUUAAUCGGAAUCACUGGGCGUAAAGGCGUGCGCAGGCGGUUAUGUAAGACAGGUGUGAAAUCCCCGGGCUUAACCUGGGAACUGCAUUUGUGACUGCAUAGCUAGAGUACGGUAGAGGGGGAUGGGAAUUCCGCGUGUAGCAGUGAAAUGCGUAGAUAUGCGGAGGAACACCGAUGGCGAAGGCAAUCCCCUGGACCUGUACUGACGCUCAUGCACGAAAGGCGUGGGGAGCAAACAGG